Molecule: ribosomal RNA, 465 nt
Filed under: Vreelandella stevensii
Lineage: Bacteria; Pseudomonadati; Pseudomonadota; Gammaproteobacteria; Oceanospirillales; Halomonadaceae
Description: partial 16S ribosomal RNA
Rfam family: Bacterial small subunit ribosomal RNA
Source: RNAcentral
CCUACGGGGGGCUGCAGUGGGGAAUAUUGGACAAUGGGGGCAACCCUGAUCCAGCCAUGCCGCGUGUGUGAAGAAGGCCCUCGGGUUGUAAAGCACUUUCAGUGAGGAAGAACGCCUGGUGGUUAAUACCCAUCAGGAAAGACAUCACUCACAGAAGAAGCACCGGCUAACUCCGUGCCAGCAGCCGCGGUAAUACGGAGGGUGCGAGCGUUAAUCGGAAUUACUGGGCGUAAAGCGCGCGUAGGUGGCUUGAUAAGCCGGUUGUGAAAGCCCCGGGCUCAACCUGGGAACGGCAUCCGGAACUGUCAAGCUAGAGUGCAGGAGAGGAAGGUAGAAUUCCCGGUGUAGCGGUGAACUUCGUAGAGAUCGGGAGGAAUACCAGUGGCGAAGGCGGCCUUCUGGACUGACACUGCCACUGAGGUGCGAAAGCGUGGGUAGCAAACAGGAUUAGAUACCCCUGUAGUC